Molecule: ribosomal RNA, 492 nt
Filed under: uncultured bacterium
Lineage: Bacteria
Description: partial 16S ribosomal RNA
Rfam family: Bacterial small subunit ribosomal RNA
Source: RNAcentral
AGUGAACGCUGGCGGUAGGCCUAACACAUGCAAGUCGAACGGCAGCACAGUAAGAGCUUGCUCUUACGGGUGGCGAGUGGCGGACGGGUGGGGAAUACAUCGGAAUCUACUCUUUCGUGGGGGAUAACGUAGGGAAACUUACGCUAAUACCGCAUACGACCUACGGGUGAAAGCAGGGGAUCUUCGGUCCUUGCGCCAUUUAAUGAGCCGAUGUCGGAUUAGCUAGUUGGCGGGGUAACGGCCCACCAAGGCGACGAUCCGUAGCUGGUCUGAGAGGAUGAUCAGCCACACUGGAACUGAGACACGGUCCAGACUCCUACGGGAGGCAGCAGUGGGGAAUAUUGGACAAUGGGCGCAAGCCUGAUCCAGCCAUACCGCGUGGGUGAAGAAGGCCUUCGGGUUGUAAAGCCCUUUUGUUGGGAAAGAAAAGCAGCAGGUUAAUACCCCGCUGUUCUGACGGUACCCAAAGAAUAAGCACCGGCUAACUUCGUG